Molecule: long non-coding RNA, 2443 nt
Organism: Hypanus sabinus (Atlantic stingray)
Lineage: Eukaryota; Metazoa; Chordata; Chondrichthyes; Myliobatiformes; Dasyatidae
Exons: 3
Source: RefSeq, a predicted model, not a curated record
CUCACCCUUCCCUUCCACACCAUUUUUAUCACCCAUUCGCGUAUCUGCCAGGGGCGCAGUCACAGGAAAGCAACGUCCGCCAUCAGGGACCCCCCACCAUCCAGGCCUUCUCCCGUCUCGCUGCGGCCAGCAGGAAGCAGCCACAGGCGAGGUCCCAGCGGACUGGUGACUUGCUAAUGUUGGACCUCUAAGAAGGAGGGAAAGGGAAAGUCCUGGGAACCUCAGACUGGUAGUCUAUCAUACGCACAAUAAAUGUCUGAAGAACCAACACAUUGAAAAGAGUUGUCCAGUUGUAAGACCAAGGAACUGAUUGUGGUCUGAAGUCGAGGGAACACACGCCAACCGUCAUCGAGGGAUUGGCAUUGGAAAGGGUGUCAACAUUCCUUGGCGUCAACAUCUCCGUGGAUCUAUUCUGGGCCCAACAUAUGGGUGCAAUUACAAAUGAGCCAUGCCAGCAUUAGAAUUUUGAGGAGAUUUACUACAUCAUCAAAGACUCGGAAGUUUCUAUGGAUGUACCACGGAGCGCAUUCUUAUCGGUUGCGUCACCGUCUGGUACGGACGGGCCACCGCACAGGAUCAGAAAAAGCUAAAGUAAGUUGUAAAUCAGCCAUCUCCAUUAUGAGCACUGGCCUCCCCAGCAUCCAGGACAUCUGAAAAAGGCCAUGCCUCGGAAAGGCUGCAUCCAUUGUUAAGGACCCCCAUCACUCAGGACAUGUCCCCCUCUCAUUGCUACCAUCAGGGAGGAGGUACAGGAGCCUGAAGGCACACACACAAACAUUUUAGAAACAGCUUCUUCCCCCUUUUGCCUUCAGACUUCCAAGUUGUCAAUGAAUCCAUGCACACUAUCUCAGUAUUUUGUUCUGUUUUUGCACUAAUUUAUUUUUUAAUGUUUCUUAUUGUAGCUUAUAAUUUAUUGUAAAGUUUUAUGCAUUGCCCUGUAAUGCUGCUAUAAAACAACACAUUUCACCACACAUGCCAGUGAAAGUAAACCUCAUUCUGAUUCUGAAUGUGAUAGUGAAAUUAACAGACUGAACUAUCCAGGAAUAAAUCAUGUUUCACUGGGUCUAGGAAGCAAAGUAGUGGUGGAACCAGCUGGAGUGUAAGCAGCUUGUGGAUAGACACGCAAAUAUGAAGGGAAUGGAGGGAGAUGGCUGAUGCACAUGACAAACUGAACAGUUUUGGUCUCCUUAUCUAAGAAGAGAUGUACUGGCAUUAGAGAGGGUCCAGAGGAGGUUCACAAGGAUGAUCCUAGGAAUGAAAGGGUUAACAUAUGAGGAGCAUUUGAUGGAUCUGAGCCUGGACUCGCUGGAGUUUUGAAGAAUGAGGGAGGAUCUCCUUGAAGGACUGAAUGUUGAAAGGCCUAAACAGAGUGGUUGUGGAGAGGAUGUUUCUUAUAAUGUGAGAGUUUAGGACCAGAGGGCACAGCCCCAGCAUUGAGGGACUUCCAUUCAGGACAGAGAUGAAGAGCAAUUACUUUAGGCAGAGAAUCUGUGGAAUUCAUUACCACAGGCAGCUGUGGAGGCCAAGUCACUGGGUACAUUCAAAGCAGAGGUUGAGAGGUUCUUGAUUUGUGAGGGUUAAAAUGUUAUGGUGAGAAGGCAGCAGAAUGGGGUUGAAAGGGAACAUAAAUAAGUCAUGAUGGAAUGGCAGAGCAGGCUCGAUGGGCUGAAUGGCCUAAUCCUGCUCCUGUGUCUUAUUUAGUAUAAAUUGGUCCAAGAAGGACCACUACCUGCCUCAAUGACCCAGAGUCAGGGCUUUAGGCUUUAGCUCUUGGUAGGGUCGCCCAUGUCAAACAGGUCAAAGGGUGGAGUCCAGACAAAGAGCGGUCCACCAGUCCUCCAGGUCCGGGGGUUCCGCUCAGAGCCAACAACCCUGACCCCUUAAACAAAAUUGUUAGGGAAACAGCAAUGAAGAAUGUUUCUACAUCCGAGUGUGACGGUCCUCCCACGUGCCCACCCGGAACCUGCGUGACCGAGAGGAAGCUACAGGGCCAGAGAUAGAAGACCUUGGUUGUCGCUCUCAACGCCAGCGGCGUAACAGGCAGCGAGUAAGAAUGGGUAUCAAGGUCGGCACGACACAGUGGGCCAAGUGGUCUGUCCAAUUCCGCUCGAGCGGGGUGCUCACUAGACUGAUGAAUAAAACAUUAUCCUCCCACAUAAAUAUGAAAUGCGGAAAUAUUGACUAACACUUAAAACCCUCAGCAACCACCCAGUUACACCAACAAAAUCAGACGCUCUGCCAGCUGCCAAGCUGAAAGCGAUUUCCCCACUCGGUUCCGGCUCCUGUGCAGAUUUUUUUCUAACAUUUUCCACUAUCCGCCGCCGGGCUUUUAACUGAAGUAAAGCCAGGUUGCGGGAGCGUUAUCACUCCCGUGCCAGCUAAUCCGAAUUGGCUUCCUGGAACUUCCAGAACUGAUUUUAAAGUGCUCUUACUUACUUUUAAA